RNAcentral lists this unclassified non-coding RNA (324 nucleotides) under uncultured Basidiomycota. RNAcentral's name for it is "sequence contains ITS1". The stretch from base 1 to 105 matches the Rfam family "5.8S ribosomal RNA", at positions 50 to 154 of the family's 154-position model. Lineage: Eukaryota; Fungi; Basidiomycota. The record is from RNAcentral.
GAAAUGCGAUACUUGGUGUGAAUUGCAGAAUCCAGUGAAUCAUCGAAUCUUUGAACGCAACUUGCGCCCUCUGGUAUUCCGGAGGGCAUGCCUGUUUGAGUGUCGUGAACACCUCAACCCUCCAAUGUUUUUUUGCAUUGAAGGCGUUGGUAGUGAGUGCUGCCGGACCUACUCGGCAUAAUAAGUUAUUAUUGUCGAGGAUGCUGGCCUUCUGGGCAGGCGGCCACAGUAAGGGUGUUUGAACCGCUUCCAACAUGUCUUGCUCUCGUAGCAAACGCUUGAACCUCUGACCUCAAAUCAGGCAGGAAUACCCGCUGAACUUAA